AAUUUUUACUCUCCCCAUUUUCACAUUUCUUGUGUUUUCAUCUUUGAUUUUCUUCGAAACUUGUUUCAAUUCUUUAACUCGGGGGUUUUUUACAAGCUUCAAUUAUUGUUCAGUAUCAGAGAAAAUUUGCGAUUUUGACUUCUUUAGAGUAUUCAAAGUGAUUUUUCGUUGAGGUAAGAACCACGGGCUUUCUUCUUCUUCUUCUUCUUUGAUUCAUCGAUCUCUCUCGCUGUUCUUCUUGUUACACAGAGAGAUAUAAAGAGAGAAAUUGAGCUUUCUGGUUCUUUAGAGGGAGAGGUUUGAGAGUGGUAAUGGCGAGUGGAGGAGGGUACGGAGAUCCGAGCCAGAAGAUAGACUACGUGUUCAAGGUUGUGCUGAUUGGGGAUUCCGCUGUGGGGAAAUCGCAAAUACUCGCUCGAUUUGCAAGGAAUGAGUUCAAUUUAGACUCUAAGGCUACUAUCGGAGUUGAGUUUCAGACUAGGACCUUGGUUAUUCAGCACAAGAGCGUCAAGGCCCAGAUCUGGGAUACUGCUGGCCAAGAACGGUACUUCUUUACACUUGUAUAUGCAUAAGAAAACUGUUCCUGAAUUAACUUGUGGGAUUUUGUUAUAUUUGGAAAAUUUACUGUCUUUUAUUUGGAGAUUUGAUUGAUAUAUGUGCCGAAAUCAAUUUUACCAAUUAUAAUGUAGUUCUAGAAUGUAACCAUCUGUUCUUUUCGAUUUGUGAUUUCUAGUUUUUUAAUGGAAAUUAUAAAUAUUUUUGUGAUUAUUUAAUGGCAUAGUUUUGCAUUUUAGUGAAUUGUAUAUGUUUUAUGCUGGAUCCAUGUCAGGACUCAGGACCAUAUCAACAGUUGUUAGGACCUUACCUUUGUGUGCAACAAGUGAUUCCUCUUGAUACUUUUGAUCUCUGCCCCGAGUCUCUCACCCAACCAACUCGCCCGACACUAAGUUUAUCUUCCUUUUCCUUUGCUAGUGUGAUUGAAAAAGGUUUCCUUUUGUAUUUAUGUCAUGUUGAAAAAGCAAAUACUUGCCCUGCUUAAAGUCACUUUGGUUCUUGGAGGGUUCUCAGCAUUAUGCAAGUUCUCAUAUGUUCAUCCUAUUGUCGCAAAUCCAUUAUAUGUAUGAGGCUUCUCCUUCUAGGGUCUAGGCUAGUUUAAAAUGUUUUGUGCGUAUCAUAUUAAUUUCAUUUACUUGAGUGCUUAUGAUAACACAGUUUUUAAAUGGUGGGCACUUGGGAGUUCCUAAGAAUAUGUGCGUUCUAUUGUUUGAAUUUGGGUUGGCAAUAUGAACAAUUCUUUACCACUUAAAAGUAUAUUCUUUCUAAACAGGUGAUUUCUUUUAUUAGUGGGAAAUAUCUAUGAGGCUAUGAGCCAUCCCAUUGUUUUUGAUUAUUAUGAAAUAUCUUGUGUACAUCACAAUCUACACAGCUGGACAUCAUCAGGAGAAUUGACUGAUUCUUUUUCUAACCAUCCUAUGGGAAUCGUGGAUAAUUAAAUAAUAUGCCAAUUAAAAAUUAUAAAAAAAGAAAUGAAACGUCUAAAUCUUCCUCUUUUUUUUGGUGUAUAUCAUGAUAAUCAAGAUUUUUCCUUCUUAUUUUGUGCUCGUGGUUUAAUGAGCAGAUAUAGAGCAGUAACAAGUGCGUAUUAUAGGGGUGCUGUUGGAGCAAUGCUGGUGUAUGACAUAACCAAACGUCAAACCUUUGAUCACAUACCCCGUUGGCUGGAAGAGCUGCGUAGCCAUGCUGACAAAAACAUUGUUAUAAUUCUGAUUGGGAACAAAUGCGAUCUUGAGAACCAAAGGGUGGUCCCCACUGAAGAUGCUAAGGAAUUUGCCGAAAAGGAAGGACUAUUCUUUUUAGAGACCUCUGCAUUGGAAUCAACUAAUGUCGAGACUGCCUUCUUGACAGUGUUGACCGAGAUAUUUAACAUUGUAAACAAAAAGACUCUAACUGGUGCAGAAAAUCAAACAAAUGGCAACCCUGCAUCCUUGUCAGGCAAGAAAAUCAUCAUUCCAGGCCCUGGACAAGAAAUUCCAGCAAAAAGCAAGAUGUGUUGUAGCUCAUUAUAAUUUGAUCAGACACGGAUUUGAAAAAUGUGGUUUUUCUGUUCUAUUCUCCUAAUAGCAAUUUUUGGAAGGUGUGAUGCGUUAUGUUGUAAAUUUUCCAUUGCUGUAGUUUAGUUUGAAUGAGCAGCUGAUUAAUUGCAUGUUCAAAAUUGAGCUGAAUUCUGUGUUAUCUUUUGAUUGGUUUCUAAGUAGCAUUCUGUUUCUGAA
This 2270-nucleotide unclassified non-coding RNA is filed under the name Hevea brasiliensis (rubber tree). Lineage: Eukaryota; Viridiplantae; Streptophyta; Magnoliopsida; Malpighiales; Euphorbiaceae. The record is from RNAcentral.